AUUGAACGCUGGCGGCAUGCUUUACACAUGCAAGUCGAACGGCAGCGCGGGCUUCGGCCUGGCGGCGAGUGGCGAACGGGUGAGUAAUGCAUCCGAACGUGCCCAGUCGUGGGGGAUAGCCCGGCGACAGCCGGAUUAAUACCGCAUACGACCUGAUGGUGAAAGCGGGGGACCGAAAGGCCUCGCGCUAUUGGCGCGCCCGAUGUCGGAUUAGCUAGUUGGUGGGGUAAAGGCUUACCAAGGCGACGAUCCGUAGCUGGUCUGAGAGGCCGACCAGCCACACUGGGACUGAGACACGGCCCAGACUCCUACGGGAGGCAGCAGUGGGGAAUUUUGGACAAUGGGGGCAACCCUGAUCCAGCCAUGCCGCGUGCGGGAAGAAGGCCUUCGGGUUGUAAAACGCUUUUGUUAGGGAAGAAAACCUCUGGGCUAAUACCCCGGGGGGAUGACGGUACCGGAAGAAUAAGCACCGGCUAACUACGUG
RNAcentral lists this ribosomal RNA (484 nucleotides) under uncultured bacterium. RNAcentral's name for it is "partial 16S ribosomal RNA". It matches the Rfam family "Bacterial small subunit ribosomal RNA", at positions 28 to 507 of the family's 1533-position model. The record is from RNAcentral.